Anarrhichthys ocellatus (wolf-eel) is the source of this 257-nucleotide long non-coding RNA. RefSeq lists it as uncharacterized. The record is from RefSeq and is a predicted model, not a curated record. The transcript has 3 exons. NCBI's taxonomy places the organism in Eukaryota, Metazoa, Chordata, Actinopteri, Perciformes, Anarhichadidae.
CCAUGGAUCUUGGAGACAGUGCAGAGGACAGUCCUUUCUUUUUAUAAGAGGGCUAAUGUUGAGUGGGCUUGCCCCUUGACAUGCACACUCAAGGGAGAUCCAGCAAUUGGUGAUGGCGUGACUCUCCAUCUCUUUGCAACCAUCAUGUCCAAACUUCAGUAUGGUUUUGAGAUGAAUUUUGUGGGCCAUGCCUUGGAGGACUCAGCCCAGCUAUCCUGCAUGUGCUCUUUGGUGGAUCCCCAGAAGAAGCCAUAAUA